RNAcentral lists this ribosomal RNA (1622 nucleotides) under Escherichia coli. RNAcentral describes it as "partial 23S ribosomal RNA". It matches the Rfam family "Bacterial large subunit ribosomal RNA", at positions 1341 to 2925 of the family's 2925-position model. Lineage: Bacteria; Pseudomonadati; Pseudomonadota; Gammaproteobacteria; Enterobacterales; Enterobacteriaceae. The record is from RNAcentral.
AAGACCAAGGGUUCCUGUCCAACGUUAAUCGGGGCAGGGUGAGUCGACCCCUAAGGCGAGGCCGAAAGGCGUAGUCGAUGGGAAACAGGUUAAUAUUCCUGUACUUGGUGUUACUGCGAAGGGGGGACGGAGAAGGCUAUGUUGGCCGGGCGACGGUUGUCCCGGUUUAAGCGUGUAGGCUGGUUUUCCAGGCAAAUCCGGAAAAUCAAGGCUGAGGCGUGAUGACGAGGCACUACGGUGCUGAAGCAACAAAUGCCCUGCUUCCAGGAAAAGCCUCUAAGCAUCAGGUAACAUCAAAUCGUACCCCAAACCGACACAGGUGGUCAGGUAGAGAAUACCAAGGCGCUUGAGAGAACUCGGGUGAAGGAACUAGGCAAAAUGGUGCCGUAACUUCGGGAGAAGGCACGCUGAUAUGUAGGUGAAGUCCCUCGCGGAUGGAGCUGAAAUCAGUCGAAGAUACCAGCUGGCUGCAACUGUUUAUUAAAAACACAGCACUGUGCAAACACGAAAGUGGACGUAUACGGUGUGACGCCUGCCCGGUGCCGGAAGGUUAAUUGAUGGGGUCAGCGCAAGCGAAGCUCUUGAUCGAAGCCCCGGUAAACGGCGGCCGUAACUAUAACGGUCCUAAGGUAGCGAAAUUCCUUGUCGGGUAAGUUCCGACCUGCACGAAUGGCGUAAUGAUGGCCAGGCUGUCUCCACCCGAGACUCAGUGAAAUUGAACUCGCUGUGAAGAUGCAGUGUACCCGCGGCAAGACGGAAAGACCCCGUGAACCUUUACUAUAGCUUGACACUGAACAUUGAGCCUUGAUGUGUAGGAUAGGUGGGAGGCUUUGAAGUGUGGACGCCAGUCUGCAUGGAGCCGACCUUGAAAUACCACCCUUUAAUGUUUGAUGUUCUAACGUGGACCCGUGAUCCGGGUUGCGGACAGUGUCUGGUGGGUAGUUUGACUGGGGCGGUCUCCUCCUAAAGAGUAACGGAGGAGCACGAAGGUUGGCUAAUCCUGGUCGGACAUCAGGAGGUUAGUGCAAUGGCAUAAGCCAGCUUGACUGCGAGCGUGACGGCGCGAGCAGGUGCGAAAGCAGGUCAUAGUGAUCCGGUGGUUCUGAAUGGAAGGGCCAUCGCUCAACGGAUAAAAGGUACUCCGGGGAUAACAGGCUGAUACCGCCCAAGAGUUCAUAUCGACGGCGGUGUUUGGCACCUCGAUGUCGGCUCAUCACAUCCUGGGGCUGAAGUAGGUCCCAAGGGUAUGGCUGUUCGCCAUUUAAAGUGGUACGCGAGCUGGGUUUAGAACGUCGUGAGACAGUUCGGUCCCUAUCUGCCGUGGGCGCUGGAGAACUGAGGGGGGCUGCUCCUAGUACGAGAGGACCGGAGUGGACGCAUCACUGGUGUUCGGGUUGUCAUGCCAAUGGCACUGCCCGGUAGCUAAAUGCGGAAGAGAUAAGUGCUGAAAGCAUCUAAGCACGAAACUUGCCCCGAGAUGAGUUCUCCCUGACCCUUUAAGGGUCCUGAAGGAACGUUGAAGACGACGACGUUGAUAGGCCGGGUGUGUAAGCGCAGCGAUGCGUUGAGCUAACCGGUACUAAUGAACCGUGAGGCUUAACCUUACAACGCCGAAGGUGUUU